GUACUUUCUUUGUCAGUACAGACUAAAGGAGGAAGGACAGGGAGAAGAUUUGCAGGACCCCUGCACAAGGAUGACAAGCAAACUCACAAAACAUUCCACAGAGAC
Molecule: small nuclear RNA, 105 nt
Organism: Erinaceus europaeus (western European hedgehog)
Lineage: Eukaryota; Metazoa; Chordata; Mammalia; Eulipotyphla; Erinaceidae
Source: Ensembl